This 468-nucleotide ribosomal RNA is filed under the name uncultured bacterium. RNAcentral describes it as "partial 16S ribosomal RNA". It matches the Rfam family "Bacterial small subunit ribosomal RNA", at positions 28 to 507 of the family's 1533-position model. The record is from RNAcentral.
GACGAACGCUGGCGGCGUGCUUAACACAUGCAAGUCGAACGGUGAUGCUCCAGCUUGCUGGAGUGGAUCAGUGGCGAACGGGUGAGUAACACGUGAGCAACCUGCCCCAGACUCUGGAAUAAGCGCUGGAAACGGCGUCUAAUACUGGAUACGAAACUGGCCCGCAUGGGCAUGGUUUGGAAAGUUUGUCGGUUUGGGAUGGGCUCGCGGCCUAUUAGCUUGUUGGUGAGGUAAUGGCUCACCAAGGCGACGACGGGUAGCCGGCCUGAGAGGGCGAACGGCCACACUGGGACUGAGACACGGCCCAGACUCCUACGGGAGGCAGCAGUGGGGAAUAUUGCACAGUGGGCGAAAGCCUGAUGAAGAGACGCCGCGUGAGGGAUGACGGCCUUCGGGUUGUAAACCUCUUUCAGCAGGGAAGAAGCGAAAGUGACGGUACCUGCAGAAGAAGCACCGGCUAACUACGUG